GUGGGCGGCCCAGGGUGCUCCAGGGUCUCGCAGGAGGGAGAACUGGAAGCUCAAUAGCAAACGUCAGCAUGCUGGCAAGAGGAGCAGCUUCAGAACCCCAGAAGCCAGGCGGAGCAGGAAGAGGAUCUCAGGCUGAGGUGGCCCAAGCUGUCCGAGCACCGAUCGUGGUUUACUUUCUUAAGCUCCCAAACCUCUAUGUCCCGGUCGCUGACAAGGGGAUAACACGCCUGGGGCUCUGCCACACGACCUGCGCGCCUCCUCGGCCCCAUCCACUCUCGCUGCUGCGCUGUCCCGGACCUCGGGGCGCCUCGCCUUUCCGAAGGUAGGGAAAGGCCCAGGCCCUGGCAUCCUCCGCGGCCAAACCUCAGGGCAGGACGCCCUCCUCGGGGCAGCCCGGCGAUGACUCUGCUUGGUCGGGCCGCCGCCACCAGGCCAGCGGAAUUUUCCUCCGAUCGGUUUGGCCUCGGAAGGGCGCCGGGCGCG
RNAcentral lists this long non-coding RNA (483 nucleotides) under Fukomys damarensis (Damara mole-rat). RNAcentral's name for it is "lncRNA (ENSFDAG00000031523.1)". Lineage: Eukaryota; Metazoa; Chordata; Mammalia; Rodentia; Bathyergidae. The record is from RNAcentral.